CACUGUGAAUAACUUUUAUAUUGUGUGUUUUUUUUUUAAUAAUUACAAGACAGACUGUCAUCGUGAAAGAACUUGGAAUUUUGUAAAUGUAGUGUACAAACGAAAUAUGAUCAACUGGAUAAUUCAUAGCCUGCAUCAAGGAAAUAGGAGGGUGACGCAACAAACUGAAGGAUUCAUACUCUGCAAUCCCAUAAUAGGAGGGUCUGGCAAUACACUGGGGGAGAUUCGUA
Molecule: long non-coding RNA, 230 nt
Filed under: Mytilus galloprovincialis (Mediterranean mussel)
Lineage: Eukaryota; Metazoa; Mollusca; Bivalvia; Mytilida; Mytilidae
Source: RNAcentral